This 630-nucleotide long non-coding RNA is filed under the name Sus scrofa (pig). RNAcentral describes it as "lncRNA (ENSSSCG00055002713.1)". The record is from RNAcentral. Lineage: Eukaryota; Metazoa; Chordata; Mammalia; Artiodactyla; Suidae.
CACUCCUGAGAGCCUGAUAUCCUUAUACCAGGUCCUAUCGAGUAACCACUUAAUUUCUUAUAGAACAUUCAGCAUUCAACCAUUCAAAACCCUCAAUCCACCCUCUUAUCCAGCAGGAAAAGCUUAACCCUUGCAUUCCUGGAAGGGAGAAAUCAUCUGACUUGAGCAGUGUCGACUUUCUUCCUCACCACAAGGAACAUCUCAGAGUGUCUCUAAAUUUAUAUCUCCAAGCUGAGAAUACAAAAUGAACCAAAGAGAAAAUGUCAGAACACUGAGAGCAAUCAGUGUAAAUUAACUCCGUGCAAACUGUGUGCAUUGGUGCUGAGAGAACAGACAAAGCAGUGGAUUCCCCUUUGGAAGGCUCUUUUCUCUAAAGCUUUCAAAUUCCACAAUGAAGUUUCAGAGGAAACACAGAAUAUCCUAAUUCGGGGUGUACCAUACCAGGUGUAUAAAGAUGUAAAUAAAUGCAAUACUUGACAUGAAAGAAUGAGUCUGGUAUUGCUAUUGAUGCUGGAGGGCACCGUGACCUCUGCACUCAAAAUCUGGAGGUGGGGACGGGUGGAAAUGAGCAGUGCCUAGAAGUGCAGUUCUAGAAAUAAAUCAGUAACUAACAGGGAGGAUUGCUUCUUG